RNAcentral lists this ribosomal RNA (331 nucleotides) under Enterococcus durans. Its description in RNAcentral is "bacterial SSU rRNA". It matches the Rfam family "Bacterial small subunit ribosomal RNA", at positions 78 to 403 of the family's 1533-position model. The record is from RNAcentral. Lineage: Bacteria; Bacillati; Bacillota; Bacilli; Lactobacillales; Enterococcaceae.
CACCGGAAAAAGAAGAGUGGCGAACGGGUGAGUAACACGUGGGUAACCUGCCCAUCAGAAGGGGAUAACACUUGGAAACAGGUGCUAAUACCGUAUAACAAUCGAAACCGCAUGGUUUUGAUUUGAAAGGCGCUUUCGGGUGUCGCUGAUGGAUGGACCCGCGGUGCAUUAGCUAGUUGGUGAGGUAACGGCUCACCAAGGCNACGAUGCAUAGCCGACCUGAGAGGGUGAUCGGCCACAUUGGGACUGAGACACGGCCCAAACUCCUACGGGAGGCAGCAGUAGGGAAUCUUCGGCAAUGGACGAAAGUCUGACCGAGCAACGCCGCGUG